Molecule: long non-coding RNA, 1963 nt
Filed under: Mus musculus (house mouse)
Lineage: Eukaryota; Metazoa; Chordata; Mammalia; Rodentia; Muridae
Description: RIKEN cDNA 9230104M06 gene
Source: RNAcentral
GGCAGAUCGCGGAGUUUACAUCGGCGUACGGGACUCGGAGGGGACCUGGCUGCAGAUUCCCGGCCCGGCCCUGCCUCAGUUUCCCUGUCCGACUGCCCACGGUCUGUCACAGGACGACCUACUUCAGUUUCCCCGCCAGCCUCGACUCCUCCCUCGGACCUCGCACACGCAGCCCUGCCCGGCCCCCUCGCCCGAGCUGCAGAACUCACCGUCCAGCGACACGAACUGGCCGACCGCCGACGAGCCGCCGCCGCUGUUCUCCACGAACUGCACCUCGGACACGAUGAUGUUGUCCUCGAGCACCGAGCCGCAGCCCGUGCACACCGCAUCGCCGCGCGCCGCAUCCAACUCGAUGUCCGUGCCGCCGCAGCCGCGGCAGACGCGGCCCGUCAUGGUGGAGCCGCGGGGCCCCACCGGCCCCCCAGCCGCUCAGCAGUCCGCUCUCCGCCCGCGGCCCUCAGCCCGCAAGGCCCGUCGCGCCGCCUCCGUCUGCGCCGCACUCUCGCGAGGCCGCCGGCGCCACGCCUGCCGAUUCGUCGCGGCAGAUUCGCCCAGCGCGUGCGGGCCGCGCUGCCUGCAACGGCCGCGCCCGCGGGACCGAUAAAGGAACUCAAGAAUCGUUGGGACGCUGGGACCGAACCGCCGACCUUCCGGGCGGCCGGAAGCAAAGCUCCAAACCUGGAACCCGGAGGCCUCGCGGGCCAAAAGCCAACAACGGGGCGGGACUGGAGGGCGGGCGAGAAGGGCGGGGCGGGGCGGGGCGGGGCGAGGAGCGCAGCCCGGGACCCGACUCGGGCCGUGGGAGGAGCCUAGGAGGAAAUGCGGGCUGAGGGAGGAGCCUGGGACAGGGGCGAGGCUUAAAGUGACGGGGCCCGGAGUAGGCCGGUGGGUGGAGCUGGGACGAGUAUGGGAGGAGCCUGUAGAUGGCGCCGAGGCCACGAAGCUUUCGGUAUGCGGAGCCGAAGGAGAGCCGAUUGUCUGAGAGAGGAAAUCUGGAAACAAAGUAGUGGGAUGGGUUUGUGGGCGGUAACUUGUGUGCGGCCAAGGCCCGGCCCGUGGAGCCUGCACUGAUUGGCACAAUAGGCUUUGGGAGCGUCCUGGGCUGGAUGUAGUGGGAGUAACUUGGGGAGUCAGCAAGCCCUAGAGGGCAGGAUCAAGGACUGCCGGCGGGGCAGCGUUUAAGAGGGACCUGGAAUGUUCUCCCAGACUCUGCUGCAGACACCUCAUCCCCCAUCCCUCAGUCCCAGGGUGAACAGUCUCUGGGACCACAGUUGGUCACCUCAACGCUGAGUUCUCAGCAGGACUUCCUAUUUCCUGGCAGUAACGGGUCUGGGUAGUAGGGUAGUGAGCUCUGGGUAAAGUAGAGCAUACACAGAACCCUCUGCAUCCGCAGGCGCUGCUCACAAUCUCAGCCAUACCUGUCAGUCCUUGGGAAGUUUAGCAAAUCUUGUGCACUACUACAGGUAAGAAACUCCAAAAUUAGACUGCAGGAUGCCACAGGAGCUCAAACUAAGAGGGAAGCAUUGUAAAUAUGCAGACUUCUGAUCAGCUUGCAAAACCAGCGUUAUCAACACAAUUUAGAAGAAGAACAAGAACAACAACUUGGAAAAAGCCGAUUGUGUUGGUGCACACCUUUAGUCCCAGCACUCCAGAGGUAGGGGCAGGUGAAUCUCUGUGAAUUAGAGGCCAGCCAGGACUCUGUUUUAUACAUAGAGUAACCCUGUCACAAACAAACAAACAGAACUUGGGAGGGAUCUCCUCAAAACAUAGCAAAGGAAGGGUUGGUGAGAUUGCUCGUCAAGUAAAUGCCAAGCAAAUCUGUCUGCCUUGCUUGAGUUCAAUCCCAAGAACUCUGGUAAAGGCGGACUGAGAGAAUUUACUCCACAAAAUUCUCUUUUGACCUCCACACAUGUACCCUCUCACCAUCAUGUGCACAAUACAUAUUAAAGUCAAAUGGCAAAUG